Molecule: ribosomal RNA, 131 nt
Filed under: Asperula arvensis
Lineage: Eukaryota; Viridiplantae; Streptophyta; Magnoliopsida; Gentianales; Rubiaceae
Also listed under: 20 other names
Description: 5.8S ribosomal RNA
Rfam family: 5.8S ribosomal RNA
About the family: 5.8S ribosomal RNA (5.8S rRNA) is a component of the large subunit of the eukaryotic ribosome. It is transcribed by RNA polymerase I as part of the 45S precursor that also contains 18S and 28S rRNA. Functionally, it is thought that 5.8S rRNA may be involved in ribosome translocation.
Source: RNAcentral
AUACGACUCUCGGCAACGGAUAUCUAGGCUCUCGCAUCGAUGAAGAACGUAGCAAAAUGCGAUACUUGGUGUGAAUUGCAGAAUCCCGUGAAUCAUCGAGUUUUUGAACGCAAGUUGCGCCCGAAGCCAUU